GUCUUGAUACUCAUAGCGUAGUGGACCCACUCCAAUCCAUCCCGAACUUGGUUGUUAAACACUACAGCGGCGAUGAUACUUAAGAGGAAGCUUUUUGGGAAAGUAGCUCAGUAUCAGGACUCUAGACAAUUAAUUUUUUUA
This 141-nucleotide ribosomal RNA is filed under the name Phyllymenia taiwanensis. The record is from RNAcentral. Lineage: Eukaryota; Rhodophyta; Florideophyceae; Halymeniales; Halymeniaceae.